UAUCUGACUGUGGUCCAGAUCUGCACCUGAUAAGAUUUCAGCUCUGCUAGCAAAGCUGUUUUUUCAUCGAUUUACAGAUUUGUUCCAGGUCCGGUUUCCGCAACUCAACCGGAAGUCAGGAGAUGCGUUUAAAAUACAAAACACUAAUUUGGCCCAAACCUGUGAUACGGAUAUGGGCAGAAGGAGCAGGUGGUAAUUGAACAGAGAAGUCAACUAGCUGGCUGCUGUAGAAUAAAAGUUUUUUGUAAUGGCACAAAUUUAGAAACAUGAGGGUGCACUAUGUGCCCAUGGCCACUUCAUUUCUACACCAAAUUUAAGCUAAUUGGCUCAGUAUAUGUGCCAGUUAGACUUUUCAGUGCUGUUUUUCUACAGUCAGCAGAUUUGGGCCAGAUCCACUUACCACAUCAGAACCAAAGCUUCCAGAAAGACAGUUCACUGAUGUGGCCCACAUCUGUAAUAUUGACCCAAACCACCUCCAAACUUGUGUGUUCCACUCUGGUUUACUGAACAGAGCCGAACGCGCGAAGUGAGUGAGGUCCGUCCGUUUGAGAGACGUUAUGCUGAUCUGGCCCUCAUCCGUACCACGGAUUAUAGCCAGAAACCGUUGGAAUAGAUCAAAUGAAACUUUUGUGGGGGUGCCCAUGCCAUAUUUCGUUUUUAAAUCCUGAUUUGUUAAAUCUUACAAUGGAACACUUGCACGUAGCCUACACAAAAAUGAUUAAUUCACUAACAAAGUAAUAGGCUUGUCUCAAAAUGGAAGAUUUACCACAUAACAAAAUAAUACAUUAGCAACUGUCCACUAUCCAAGUGCAAUGGUCCAAGCUGUAUUGCCAUCCUGGGAAGAAAAAAAAGUUGCGAACAUCGUGGGAAAAAACGGCACUGGCGCACAUAAUGGAUGGCAACAUGGGUGCAUUUAUAGUCCAUCAUGACAUAAAAAAUCCUCUGCAUGCAACCACGAGGAGAGGGGGAAUUUACUAAGGAGUUUUGUCUAUAUAUUAUAUAAAAUCUACUGUUGGGAAGAGCAGAACCUAAUCCAAAUAAAAAUAAACAAGCUGUUAAAAGCCAGUUGAAGGUGGUCAACACAAACCAAAUGAAGAUGUUGCACAUUUCACAAACAAUAAAAAAGAAGAUCAAGUUUUGUGUCCAACACACUUGGAUGAGACGUGCCCGACCCCUGACUUUGUCUACCCUACAUUAAGUUGUGAUGGCACACUUCAUGACAGUAAACAUCGGUAUCAAUAUGAUGUGAUUGAUCUAUACCCUAGAAUAAGCUGUGACACUAUGAGACGGUGACAUAAUGAACAGCCAUCUUCCAGACAACCGAAACAGUAUUGUCUACAAUACCAAAUUCUGGAUUGACGCCCCAGUACCAGAAGGCACUCCAAUCCCAGAGAGCAUCCCAUUGUGAGGUAACACAACGAAAAAAUAACAGGAUGGAGACUACCUGAUUCUUCACCUAUGGCCUUAGCUUCAAAUGCAAGAAGUCCAGCAACUGUCUGAGCUGGUGGAUAUUCUAUCAGAGACUGCAUGAACAACGUUAUGAACAGAAUGAUGUCUAAUUGUUUUAUGGCAAAGUUCAAUAUGAGGGGUGGUGGACAUCUGGAAAAUAAGUCUUUUAAAGGCACACCUUUGUAUUAUGUUAUUCAAGAUGCUGUGAGGAGGUGGAGCCCAAAAGCCACGGACUCGGAAAUCGAUGCAGCUAUGGCAGACCACCUCAAGCACACUCCAGGAAGAGAGCUAGGGGUUGUGAAUACAAAAAAUAAGCCAAACAGAUGUAAUGUGUUAGAGAUAGUUCACACAAAAAUGAAAAUUGUUAUAAUUUUCUUACCCACGUGUUUCAAACCUGUAUACAUUUCUAUUUUUUGCUGAACACAAAGAUUGAAUAAUGUUUGUAACCAAGCAUUUCUCACAACCCAUUAACUGUCAUAAUCAUUUUUUUACAAUUGUAGUAAUGGGUUGUGAGAUCUGCUUUUUUAAAAACAUUCUUUCAAAUAUCUUUGUGUUCCGCAGAACAUAGAAAGGUAUACAGGUUUGAAACAUGAGAGGGAGUAAAUGACUAAAUAUUCAUUUUUGGGUGAACUAUCCCUUUAUAUAAUAAAGUAUUUUGAAAUUGUUAUUAUAGUUAAAAAAAUAAAAGUCUUAAAUCAGAACAUGCUUCUUUUUUGCUCAUGUCCACAAAUAAUGUGUUCUUUAAUGUGUUUAAUGCCUAAAGACCUACACCAAGCAACAAGUGCUAUGGUUGUUAGCUUAUAUACAUUCUGAAAAUUUCAUGUGUACUUUAUGUGAAUGGAGGCCUAUGAUUAUUGCUUCUGACUGUAGGGUAAUUAAAUAUAAGGUAGCCUAAACACAUGAAAGACUAAACAUCACAUAGGCCAUAAAUCCCAAAAAUAAGGCAUAGCUGGCAUUGAUCUGGUACGCGGAUCUGUGCCGCAUCUCUAUGCGGGACUGGGCCAGCUCUGUUCCAUUUCCAGUUCAGAUUCGUGAAACUGAUCCUGACCACUUCUUGGCCGAUGUGCGUUUGGACACUGGACCGUGUUAGUUAAACGGAUCUGAUGCGGAUGGAACGGUAUGUGUGGGCCAGCUCCACCCCAGUGUUGUUUUACUGUUUUGGUACGAGAGUGGGCCAGGGCUGACCCAUCUCUGGUGCAGAGCCAUGAAACAAAUCCUGAUCACUUUUGGCCCGUUGUGCAUUUGGACACUGGACCAUGUCCGUGAGAUGGAUCCGGGGUGGAUCGCAUGGUAGGUGUGGGCCAGAACCACCCCAGUGU
Long non-coding RNA from Paramisgurnus dabryanus, 2768 nucleotides. RefSeq lists it as uncharacterized. NCBI's taxonomy places the organism in Eukaryota, Metazoa, Chordata, Actinopteri, Cypriniformes, Cobitidae. The record is from RefSeq and is a predicted model, not a curated record.